RNAcentral lists this long non-coding RNA (694 nucleotides) under Marmota monax (woodchuck). Lineage: Eukaryota; Metazoa; Chordata; Mammalia; Rodentia; Sciuridae. The record is from RNAcentral.
AGAAAAGAACCUCAAGAUAAUUAUGCUGUGUUAAAGCCAGAGGAACCCAGCAGUUUGACCUAGAACGACAGCUUCAUGGCCAUUGUGAGGCUGCAGUUAAUCAAGAAGAAUGUUUUCCUAGCUGAGGCCUUUGUUUAGUAAGCUUGUGACUGAGUUGAGUCACCAGUAGAUGAGACAGGUGGAUGGCCUGCUCUCUCCCCCUCUGCGACUCCGUCUUGCCCAGAGCUGGUGUCUUUUGCCCUCACUAGAAGGCAGUGCUUCAGCACCUGUCCCUUGCUGGUGGCAUAGGUGUUCAGGAGCUGGGGCACUCACCUCGUGGCUCUCUGGUGUCUGAGGUCCUUUCUUUCCUAGGAUGAGCCUGUUUACCGUGACUGCCUAACCUGACAUGUUGUUUAUGUUCCAGUGUUUAGAUGCAGGCAGAUUAUAUUACCUGAAUUAGAAUGCUUUUGAGACUCAAGGUAGUAUCUUAAAUUUUAACUUCUGAGUUUCCUGAAGUGCAGCUACAGUCAAGUGGUGGGGAAAGCGCUUCCUUAGCCUCUGUGGUAGUGAGUGGAGGGCUGCACACGCGCCUCAGUCUUUGAGCGAACAGGGUCUCCUGGGUUUGUCUUCCUGUUGCUGUUGUGGGUUGUUGACAGAGGGGCACGGGACCCGAAGCCACUGAGCUUCUCAGACCCCAGCACCUGCCAGAGAUCAC